ACGAACGCUGGCGGCGUGCUUCACCCAUGCAAGUCGCACGGAAAGGCCUUUUCGGAGGUACUCGAGUGGCGAACGGGUGAGUAACACGUGGGUGAUCUGCCCUGCACUCUGGGAUAAGCCUGGGAAACUGGGUCUAAUACCGGAUAGGACCGCACUUUAGUGUGUGUGGUGGAAAGUUUUUUCGGUGUAGGAUGAGCCCGCGGCCUAUCAGCUUGUUGGUGGGGUAAUGGCCUACCAAGGCGGCGACGGGUAGCCGGACUGAGAGGUUGGUCGGCCACAUUGGGACUGAGAUACGGCCCAGACUCCUACGGGAGGCAGCAGUGGGGAAUAUUGCACAAUGGGCGCAAGCCUGAUGCAGCGACGCCGCGUGGGGGAUGACGGCCUUCGGGUUGUAAACUCCUUUCGCCAGGGACGAAGCGUUUUGUGACGGUACCUGGAGAAGAAGCACCGGCUAACUACGUG
This 462-nucleotide ribosomal RNA is filed under the name uncultured bacterium. RNAcentral describes it as "partial 16S ribosomal RNA". It matches the Rfam family "Bacterial small subunit ribosomal RNA", at positions 29 to 507 of the family's 1533-position model. The record is from RNAcentral.